RNAcentral lists this non-coding RNA (24 nucleotides) under Rattus norvegicus (Norway rat). Lineage: Eukaryota; Metazoa; Chordata; Mammalia; Rodentia; Muridae. The record is from RNAcentral.
GUGAAUGAAUGGAAUGCUUACUAA